AUAAGUUGCAAAGAAUUCCCGAUAGGGUCCGCGCAUGCGGAGAUGCCUUGUAACCGAGAAUGAGGGGGAAACAUAAGAAUG
Molecule: small RNA, 81 nt
Filed under: Lacticaseibacillus saniviri
Lineage: Bacteria; Bacillati; Bacillota; Bacilli; Lactobacillales; Lactobacillaceae
Also listed under: 1 other name
Description: Lactobacillus saniviri SAM-III sequence
Rfam family: SAM-III riboswitch aptamer (SMK box)
Source: RNAcentral